Long non-coding RNA from Hemicordylus capensis (graceful crag lizard), 860 nucleotides. RefSeq lists it as uncharacterized. The record is from RefSeq and is a predicted model, not a curated record. The transcript has 3 exons. NCBI's taxonomy places the organism in Eukaryota, Metazoa, Chordata, Lepidosauria, Squamata, Cordylidae.
CGAGUAGGGCCCAAGCCAGCCAGGAAGGACGAGGCAGCCAGAGUGGCCACCACUGUUCUCUGCAGCAGAAGACCCCCUGCUGCCAGAUCACCCAGCUCCUGGGAAGGAGCCUGCCCAGCCAUUUACUUGGUGGUGCUCACUUGGCCUGUGUCUUGCUGCUUUCCUGCCGGCACCCGGGCACUCACAGUGGCCUGACUCGGAUGGAGGGCUCCGCCUCCACGGCCCGGCUGGUGCCUGCUGUCAAAGUGACUGGACCUGUAGGAAGGCUGGGAUUCGGCCCGGGCCCCAACCAAGGAGAGUGGCCUCCAUCCAUCCCUCCCUGCCCCACCCACCUUCCUGGCCAGAAAGCAGCUGCAGAGGAAGCAAGGAGAGCAAGCCAAGCCAAGCCAGGCAGAAAAGCAGCAUCUUCCCCCAACCUCCACCACCAUCUGAGGAGGAAGCCUGGAAACCAUUCUAGUGUUUCUGGAACCAGCUGUAUGAAGAAGAGCGAGAAGAAUGAGAGCUCUGAGGGGAAAGCAGUUGGGGGCGGGGGGGGGGGGCAGGGUGAGGAAGAGCAGGGAGUUGGCAAAGGAAAAUAAAGAGCAGAGCUUUGCUUCUGGCUAUUAGCAAACAGCCUGUGAGAUCGUUUGCAUCAAAUACACACACACACACACACACAACACACGCACACACUCUCUGUUGGGGAGCCUGUGACUCAAACUGUCAUUUCCUUGCAAGGAAAGAGCACUGUUAAAGCCUCCCUUCAACGUGGGUGGGCGCCUGUGAAGACACACUGUCUCAUCCCAUUCAGGAACUGCCCUCUGUCACUGCACUCAUGGUAGACUGAAUGUUUGUUGUUUGAGUAAAUAAACCAGUCAGUG